RNAcentral lists this long non-coding RNA (357 nucleotides) under Rattus norvegicus (Norway rat). Its description in RNAcentral is "long non-coding RNA NONRATT016704". Lineage: Eukaryota; Metazoa; Chordata; Mammalia; Rodentia; Muridae. The record is from RNAcentral.
GGAACCGCAGCCGAGCUCCGCGCCUCGGAAAGAAUAACAGCAGUUGAGAUUUUCAAUCAUGUGGCUCAGCACGCUGCCACACCAGUUCCCCCACUGCUGCCUCCACCUCUCCAAGACCUAAGCCCCACGCCCAACUCCUCCUCCGGACAGACCGACCGAUCCGGGUGUCAAAAGUUGGGAACGCCGCAAGCCCCCGCCGCCCUCCCAAUCAUACUCGCACCUCGGCCCGCGAGCUGCUCGCCCGAGACCCCGCUAACGCGGAACCCGAGACGCUACGCGUUGCCAAGACUCGAGGCCCGGACCAGGCAGUUUGGAAGGCGCAGCCCCCGGAGCGCGCAGUGGCAGAGGGAUGGUCUC